UACGGAAGGCAGCAGUGGGGAAUAUUGCACAAUGGGCGAAAGCCUGAUGCAGCUAUGCCGCGUGUAUGAAGAAGGCCUUAGGGUUGUAAAGUACUUUCAUCGGGGAGGAAAAAACAAAACUAAUAAUUUUAUUUCUUGACGUUACCCGAAAAAGAAGCACCGGCUAACUCCGUGCCAGCAGCCGCGGUAAUACGGAGGGUGCUAGCGUUAAUCAGAAUUACUGGGCGUAAAGAGCACGUAGGUGGUUUUUUUAAGUCAGAUGUGAAAUCCCUGGGCUUAACCUAGGAACUGCAUUUUGAAACUGAAAUACUAGAGUAUCGUAGGGGGAGGUAGAAUUCUAGGUGUAGCGGUGAAAUGCGUAGAUAUCUGGAGGAAUACCUGUGGCGAAAGCGGCCUCCUAAACGAAUACUGACACUGAGGGUGCGAAAGCGUGGGGAGCAAACAGGGAUUAGAUACC
RNAcentral lists this ribosomal RNA (457 nucleotides) under uncultured bacterium. RNAcentral's name for it is "bacterial SSU rRNA". It matches the Rfam family "Bacterial small subunit ribosomal RNA", at positions 340 to 786 of the family's 1533-position model. The record is from RNAcentral.